This 253-nucleotide ribosomal RNA is filed under the name uncultured bacterium. RNAcentral describes it as "partial 16S ribosomal RNA". It matches the Rfam family "Bacterial small subunit ribosomal RNA", at positions 524 to 776 of the family's 1533-position model. The record is from RNAcentral.
UACGUAGGUGGCAAGCGUUGUCCGGAUUUACUGGGCGUAAAGAGCGCGCAGGCGGUCGUUCAAGUCGCGUGUGAAAGCCCCCGGCUCAACUGGGGAGGGUCACGCGAUACUGAUCGACUCGAAGGCAGGAGAGGGUAGUGGAAUUCCCGGUGUAGUGGUGAAAUGCGUAGAUAUCAGGAGGAACACCAAUAGCGAAGGCAGCUCGCUGGGACGUUACUGACACUGAGGCGCGAAAGCGUGGGGAGCGAACAGG